RNAcentral lists this transfer RNA (71 nucleotides) under Chlorokybus atmophyticus. RNAcentral's name for it is "tRNA-Gly". It matches the Rfam family "tRNA". Rfam says of the family: Transfer RNA (tRNA) molecules are approximately 80 nucleotides in length. Their secondary structure includes four short double-helical elements and three loops (D, anti-codon, and T loops). Lineage: Eukaryota; Viridiplantae; Streptophyta; Chlorokybophyceae; Chlorokybales; Chlorokybaceae. The record is from RNAcentral.
GCGGAUAUAGAUUAAUGGUAAAUUACCUGCCUUCCAAGCAGAGGAUAUGGGUUCGAUUCCCAUUAUCCGCA